CCUACGGGAGGCAGCAGUGGGGAAUCUUGCACAAUGGGCGAAAGCCUGAUGCAGCGACGCCGCGUGAAGGAUGAAGGUCUUCGGAUUGUAAACUUCUGUUAAACGGGAGAAAAGACUUGUGCCUAAUACGCACAGGGAAUGAUAGUACCGUUAGAGAAAGCACCGGCUAACUUCGUGCCAGCAGCCGCGGUAAU
Molecule: ribosomal RNA, 194 nt
Filed under: uncultured bacterium
Lineage: Bacteria
Description: partial 16S ribosomal RNA
Rfam family: Bacterial small subunit ribosomal RNA
Source: RNAcentral